RNAcentral lists this long non-coding RNA (6791 nucleotides) under Mytilus galloprovincialis (Mediterranean mussel). The record is from RNAcentral. Lineage: Eukaryota; Metazoa; Mollusca; Bivalvia; Mytilida; Mytilidae.
UUUUCGUGCCUGUGUUGGUCUUGUUACUUUUGGCUGCUUUCGUUGUCAUUCUAGUUGUUUGCCUCAAACGAAAGCGAGGCAAAAAUUUGCCUCCAUGUGAGAUUCUACAAUAUCAAAAUAUAACAGAUAGGAAAUAUUCACCAAGUUAUGCCGAUAUAAUUACAAUGAAAUUGCAAAUAUCAUUAUCCCUGAGAUGAAUGACAGCAGACAUAGAUAUACAUGCACCACAACUCCAUGUGAAUCACCAAACAUUUCCUCUUCUAUUCAACAGGAAGGAAGCAAUUGCAACAAUUAUGAAUCAUUAUCAAACAAUAGAAAUUCAGUUGAACGUAUUUAUCAAUCGGGAUCUAUUCCUAACAAUGAAUUCUCAUUGAGUGAACAUACAAACGAAUCAACAGAACAGUGGGACAACCAGAAGCGCCUGAGUCAGGAUUUCGUUGCUCAGUGAUACGGUUCACUAGACGACGUUGUCAACACGUAAUGGCGGCCAUUAUUUGACGUUCAAUUUGUCAUUCCACGCUGAAAAGUUGCAUUUAUGACAUCUUGGAUGCUUAAACUUUACCGGCUAAGCAACACAAAAGGUAAAGGUUUAUUCAAGAUAUUUCAGUUAAUCAUUAUCUAAUAAGUCGGAUCCAAAGAAAUUAUUUAAACGGCAAAAAUAAAGAGUAAAAUUAUAUCGAACCACAGGAGUUUGAAAUUCUAUCAAUAAGGGGGUAAAAAUAUACCAAAGUCGACUAUCACAGUAGAGCUUCUCUCGAAGAGAGAAGCGACAGGAAUGCAACGAGAGAAGCUCUACUGUGAUAGUCGACUUUGGUAUAUUUUUACCCCCUUAUUGAUAUGAUUUCAAACUCCUGUGAUCAAACAUGAAAAUUGAAAUCCAAUAUAUAUCAUCAUUUCCUUUUCAUAUACUUGUAUCUUGUAUUGAAUCAACUAUUUACUGGUAAAUUACAUUCGGAUUUCGGUCUAAGGUAUCCGCACUUGUCUCCGGAAAUAUUAUACCCACACAAGUUGUGAACAUCCGUUUUUAAACUGGUCAAGGUGUUCCUCACGAUCUCCAUGGAAAAUAUUCACGCUUUCACUUCUUGCUCAGAUAAUAGAACAUUGUAAACUUCUAACUGCAAAUACGAACCAAAAUGAAUCAAAUUCGAAAGCACGUAUGAAUACGUUUCAUACCGAUUGUAAGUUCUGUAAAAAGGGGGGUAAUUUCAAGUUCCCAAAAAUUGCAAAAUAUAGGCUACUCAAGCUACACGAAUUUUGCUGAACGUCUCGGGUUCAACUCAAAAGUCCAUGUACUAAAUCAUUGGAAUAUAAGACACCCACUUUCACUGUUGGCUACUUUAUAUAUACCUGUAUAAUAUUUCAUUUGGAAAAAAAUAUGUGUGUCCCUGAUUUCAUAUACACCAAAAUGUAAUAUUCAUAAAAAUUAAAUCUUUCAUAAACAUAAGCAGAAUAAAAUACAAAGUGAAUGCGAUUACAGGCAUAGACUCCUCUUUCCCAUAUACAAAAAAAAAAUUAGAUAGCCAUCCUCUAAAUUCAUAUCCCAUAUUUUAAAAGAAAUUUACACAUUGAAAUUAACCACUGAAUCACCCACCCAUUUGUGAGAGCUUACACAUGCAUUAUAAACAUGUAUCCCAGUGACAAGGAACUAUUACGAAUUUAAUUUGCCUGUACAAUUUCUCUUUAUAUCCAUCAUGCUAUAUUAUUCCUAUAGGCUAUAGUCAUAUAUAUAUAUAUAUAUAUAUAUAUAUAUAUAUAUACAAACUAAUUAGAACUGAUAAUCCAUCAUGUCCAUUGACAAUAUUAAUUACUUUCAAAAAAUGUACUCCAACUACAUUAAUAUCAUAAUAUUAUCAAAUUAAUGGUGUUAUGACAAUGGUAAAAGAAACAGCAACCCAACCAAAGAGCAGACAACAAUAUGUUUUUUCUUGGUAAUUCAUUUAGCAAAUUUGUAUUCAUGACUUGGAUUGUGUUUAUAAUAACAAUGCAAAGUUUAAUUGUGCUUUAAAUAAUUUAGUAUAAUUGAUUUAGUAAUUGUAUGUACAUUUGCUUAUAUUUACAGGAUGGAGAAGGAUGUUCACUAUGAAUCAAAAAUUCAAAACAGAGGACUUUUAUAUAUCAACAAAAACACUUGCAGAACAUGCACAUAUAUGAUAUACAUACAGCAAGACAACAGUAAUCAAAUGGAAUGUCAAAGACGAGUAAUGCUGAAAGCAAAAUGAUUUUGUUUAAAAUAGAAAACAAUAUGACUAGAAUAUAUUUAGGGUAAGUAAUCCAAAUAUGUCUGUUCAGGGUAACACCAGUGGGUUAUUUACAAUGUGCUAUGAUUUCAAUCCCACAAAUAUGAAACAAAACAUGAUAGACAUUAUGAAUUAACACUAUUUUGAUAAGGAAAUAGACUGAAAAUAUUUUACAUUUAACAGUCAGAUAAGAAAAUUGCCAAUGGAAUAAUUUUGGAAUGGAAGUUAAAAUUUAUAGUUUAUAGGUUCAAGAAUUAUACACAGACUUUAAGGCCAAAUGAUAUACUUUUAAUAGUUUAAAGAUUUUAUACUAUAUGUAUUAUCUAUUCUGUAUAAUUUCAAGAUAGUUUCAUUUGGAUUUAAAACCUCAUUUCAAGAAUGAAGAGUACAGUAAUUUAAAAUUAAUUUAUAAAGAUAAAAAACAAUAUAAGGGAAUUAACUCUUACAUGAUGUGCAUCAUAUCCAUGAGAAUGUCAGAAGUGUUUAAAUAAACUUGACCAUUUUUUUUUCAGAUAAGAGAACGACUUAAGCAGACCAUAUUUGGGUCAAAGAUGCCAAUAACAUUGAAAUAUAAUAUAUUAUAAUUAUCAUUCAUCAUUACUUUUCAAUUGAAUCAACAAACUUAAUUUAAUAUCAAAAUAUAAUUUUUUUUUAUUUCAGUACACAACACAUCCUGUCAGAAGAAUAAAUUUACUGGAGGAUGAAAAUUUUGAUACCUGGAAUCAGCAAUUUAUAUGAAAUUUGUUAGGAGAAAUAUAUUCAUGUACAGAAUGGUAACCGAGAUGGUUCAAGUGUUUAUUAGCAGACAUUUUUGUUGAACUUAUGCAGGAUCGAUUAAAUGAAACUUAAGCUGACUAUGGGCUCAAUGUGUAGUAAAAAGAGGAUUUUGAAAUAUGCAAGACUCAUCAACCCUAAAAUGUGCAUAAGUGAAAUGUCACCAUAUUUAGUAAAAAAAUCACAUUAUUGACUCAGUUGUUUUCAUGAAAAAAAAAUUUCAAGGCAAUAUCUAUUACUGUUGUAUAAUUAAUAAGAUUCCUCAUUUUAUUGUAUACUACUGAAAAACGAAUAUAUCUUCCCUCUGAACUCAAGUGUUUCCAUUUUAUUUUGCAUGAGAGUAAUUUAAAGAUAGCUCAAAUUACUUUUGGACUAAUUCAAGUUUUACCAUUCUAGAAUUAGUUGACUUUUUUCAUGGUAAAUUAGACUUUUACCUCUUACCCAUAUGUUGUAAAACUCAAUUUUGCUGAAAAAAGUCUGAUUUUGAUCAAAUAAGCUCACUAUUGGAUAUUUAUCACAUAUCACAUACUAAAUAAUCUAUUAAAUUGAAAAUGGAAAUUGGCAAGGUGUUAAAGAGACAACAACCCAACCAAAGAGCAGAAAACAUGAACAGAACCAAUAGUGUGCUUAGAUUGAUUUCCUUCACUUUUGCCCUGUUAUUGAGAUUUAGUGAAAGAAUUUAAUUAUUUUAUCCCUAUCAAUUUAGGGACGACAUCAAAAGAUCAAUGUAGGAUAAAACUUAAAUCAAAUAGUUUGGUGGGGGGGGGGGAGGCAUCAACAUUGCUGCAAGUUUUGUUGAUUUUACAUGUAUCCCUAUUGGUCAAUCAAUUUUUCCCAAAUUAAGUUAAGAAAGGGGGGGGUCAGUGAAAAAAAAAGUUUUUUAUCCUUCAUUGAACUUUUGAUGUUGUCCGUUAGGGAGAGGAGAAUCAGUAUUCAACACUGCAUUACUAUUACUACAUGUAUAUCCUAUCACCAAUUACAAAUGUAUGAUACAACCAACCAUACAACAUAGCCCCUGUGACUGAGAGGAGAAAAGAGAGAUGCACAACAUACAAAACAUAUUCCUUUUGGCUAGCUACAUUGUAUCAUUUGAAAUAUUUCAUUAAUGUUUUUUAAGUGGAACAGUUUUUUGUAAUAAGUUAUUUUACUAUAGGUACUACAGUUCUCUUUCAGUUUGCCUGCUUAAGGCUUGCUUACAGUUCUAAUAUGAAAAUCAGAAGUUUGAGUAUAAUUGCCAAUGAGACAACUCCUCACCAGAUACUAAAUGACUUAAUAUAUUGUAGAUCUCUGACAGCCUUCAACAUUUAUUAUAGCAGAACCAAUAACGUAUAGUAAGCUACAUGUAUAUAAAAGACCCCUAAAUAACAUGACACAAAACUACCUGAAAAGGAAUAUUCUGUGACUGUGUGCAAAAGUGAAAUAUGUUUAAUUAAAAAUAAAAGCAUAUGAUGCAAUGGAUGCAGAUUAAUAAAUAGUCAAUCCAGAAAAAAAUCCUACUAUAGAUCUCCAAUGUUAUAGUUUAUGUGGUUUAUCAAAAAAAGUUGGCAACAAACUUUUACAUACUUCAUUCAAAUAAUUUACAUUAAACAAAAUAACAAAAAAAAAGAUGAACAUAUCUAGGCCUACUGUUGAAUGGAUAUAAAGGUAAAGCACCUAGGACAGACAAAUACUAGUACAAACACACCAGGAUUCUCUUCGAAUUCCCACCACCUAGAAUAGCAAAUGGUCGCCCCCUUUUCCCCCUAUGAAUAGAUAUAUAUUACUAUAUAUAUGUAAUACUAUUAUAUUAAUGACCUAAGAAACUGCAGAUUUAAAGAUAGAAAAGUCAUGAAGAGAUUGAACCUUCACUUCAAACCAGAAAUUGAGAACCAGGAGCCCGCAAAAUGACGCAUGCCUUUGACAAAAUUAAAAGAGUCCCCCCCUUUUUGACAAAAAAAAAGAAAACAAAACAAAACACAUAACGAUAUUUGUAUUAACGAACGAAUAGAAAAUUAUGGAAGAAAUCGAUAUGAACAAACAGAUAAGUUGUUCAUUUUAAAAACUCAGCGGCCGGUAACAAUAUGCACGAAAUGAAUCUUGAUUAACUAUAAGUACGAUGCCAACAACAUGAACAAGUCAAUCUCAUGAUGAUGUAGGCCUAAAACUGUUAGUUUACCAAGUAAGGCCUGUUUUGGUAUAACGUUUAUAUGGACUCAACAUAUUGCAUGACUUUCUUGACAUUAAGAUAAACAAAAUUGCUACAAAGAAGAGAAGAUUCCAACUUUUAAUGACAUUUUACGUUGACAUUUUCGGCGCCGGAAAUUGACAACGUUGAUCUAUGUAUUGACACAACAUCGGAUGGGGUCGAUUCCGGCAUAUUCUGUUAAAAAAUCAGUAGCACUUUAAAUUUAUUGAUAUCUUAAGAUAUAUUCAUUUUGUGUCAAUGAUAUUUAGUUGAUAUUUAAUUUCGAAAGAUGAAUAUCUAUCGCGUACUUCAGAAACAAGGUUAAAGGAGGACCACGCCUCCAUAGUUGGGACAUACAAAAUAAAGAUGACCGUUCUCCAUUUCUACUCGAUAGAAGUGCCUAAUUUUUUCAUAACAUCUGCAUUAUGUACCAAAGAUUAUAAAAUGAACGUAUAAAAAAAAUCGAGGCGGUGAUUUUUUAGAAUCAUCAAAUAAUUAUAGCAGACAAAUAGACGUAAUAGAGAAAUAGGCGAAAAUGGCGCCUUCUUCAAUUUCGGAAAAAAAUCUAUAAUUUUAAAACGUAUUGACACAUACGGAUAUUUUUAUAGGGGUUACAUAUAUAAGGAUUCAGAUAUUCUUGAUAGUUGAAUGAAUAUUUACUUUAAAAAGAGAAUAUUUUCCAAUUUCUAAUUCUACCGGCCAUGUAAGGAAAAACGUAUAAAAAAUUGAGACCCCUACUUUAAAAUGGGUACAAUUUUUUGCCCUACUUUGGACACUCGUUUUCUUUACGGAUUUCGAUGUGAAAAACUAGCGAAAUUACGAUGUAAAAAUUUUAGGAUAAUUGAAGGAUAUGCUUUUUUUUGUACCCCUUUUUAAUAUCGCUAUUUAAUUCUACAGUGCAGAAAAUCGAAAUCCGAAAUUCUAUGUUCAGAUGUGAAAAAAUAAGAUUUUCUUUUAUUUUUUUGUUCAAACAUCAAAAUAAUAAGAAAACUCAUAUAUUUUACUCUUAUAAAUGUGCUUACAAUCAACAGCAUUUACCGCCGGUACUUUGCCGUAAACGAAUGAUUUUUUUUUUUACAAAGCGCGCCAUUUUUCAGUUGACGUCGGCCGACGCAAAAAAGUCCAAUUUUCGGCGUAGGACUACUGAGCGCUGCCGAAUCACAUUUUGGCCAAAAAGGCACACCCGGUUGUCCUACUGGAAGAGAUAAUGUCAUCAUCAAUGAAUCCGAGUCUAGUGCACUUUUAAUCACUAACGAACCCUCUUGAAUCAGAUAUUCAUGUGUAUUCAUCAACAUCUGUAUAUAGUAAUGUGAUAUGAUUUACAAAAAAAAUGUACUGAAAUCAUUAUGUUUAUUACUAAACUAACAUAUCAAUUAAUCAUAUUUCAAAAAAUGCACAUGUACUAACAUAUACAUAUCAUAAAGACAUGAUUGUCAAACAAUCGCACGUCAGUUGAACAUAUUUAUCAAUUGAGAUAUAUUCUUUACACUCAUUUAUCAUCGAGUGAACAUACAAACGAAUCAACAGAAGAGACAAAGCCAUCAUCGAUGAAUCCGAAUUUAGUGCACUAUCAAUCACUAACCAACCCUAUUGAAUCAGAUACUCAUGUGUAUGCA